RNAcentral lists this transfer RNA (74 nucleotides) under Providencia rettgeri. RNAcentral's name for it is "tRNA-Ile". The stretch from base 7 to 65 matches the Rfam family "tRNA", at positions 8 to 63 of the family's 71-position model. From Rfam's summary of the family: Transfer RNA (tRNA) molecules are approximately 80 nucleotides in length. Their secondary structure includes four short double-helical elements and three loops (D, anti-codon, and T loops). Further hydrogen bonds mediate the characteristic L-shaped molecular structure. tRNAs have two regions of fundamental functional importance: the anti-codon, which is responsible for specific mRNA codon recognition, and the 3' end, to which the tRNAs corresponding amino acid is attached (by aminoacyl-tRNA synthetases). tRNAs cope with the degeneracy of the genetic code in two manners: having more than one tRNA (with a specific anti-codon) for a particular amino acid; and 'wobble' base-pairing, i.e. permitting non-standard base-pairing at the 3rd anti-codon position. Lineage: Bacteria; Pseudomonadati; Pseudomonadota; Gammaproteobacteria; Enterobacterales; Morganellaceae. The record is from RNAcentral.
GGUACAUAGCUCAGUUGGUUAGAGCAGUCGACUCAUAAUCGAUUGGUCGCUGGUUCAAGUCCAGCAGGGUACCA